AUCUAUGUAUAAAUCAUAAAUUUCUCACUAUAAAAAACUUGCAUUCUAAUAAGUUGCACCUAGUCCAAUAAAAUUCGUUUAAUAGAAAUGAUUCGAUCAAUAAACGAAAUGGUUAGGAUUAAAAAAAUAAAUAGUAAAAUAAAAAAUAAAAAAAAUAAACAUAGUGACUGGGGUUUUACUAGGAUGCAAAUAUACAGAGAUAUAUAAGUCCUAUUAAAAUUGAUCCCUCAACUUCAAAUCUUCUUUUCUUUACUAUUGGGUAUUUUAGCAGGUCUAGGUCUAGGUUCAGAUCUGGAUCCAGAUUUAAAAACUCGUUUAUACCCUACCUAUUAAAAGGUCGGAUUCGGGUCGGGUCCAAGUUGGUUUAUGAGUAUAAAGUAUAUCCAUUCUUUAUCAAAUCUGGUUUGGGUCUGGAUAAAAUGAAAUAUUAGGUAUUUUGGACCGCUUUAAUUUGGAUAUGUACGUCAUAAUAGAGAAACGACAAAAAAAAAAAAAAAACAUAGCACACUACAACAAAAACGGUCUAUAGCGACACUUUUAAAUGUAGGUACAUGUCAAAAAAGUGCUGCUAGCUAAAAUUAUCGACAAUUUUAAAAAGUGUUGCUAUAUGUGGGGUCGCUAGGUAUAUAGUGACAAUUAAAGAGUGUCGCUAUAACCUAAAAGAGUGCUACUAAUUUACCAACACUUAUUUAAGCAUUUAGCAACCGCCGAAACUCUAUCUCGUUGGCUGCGGUAGCGGAGGAGGACGACAGGAAAGACUCUUCAUCUAGAAUUUCAGUGGAUUGAGUGAAGAAAGAAGAAAAGAUGGUAAUUGAUUUUUCUUUUUUUUUUCUUUUCUGUUUGUAAUCGGGCCAAAUAAACUGGGUGUGGUGAGUUGAGUAAAGUAAUCUUUUAUUUUUGGUUGGGUUGCGCUUUAUAUUUAGGCAUUAGUAGAUAUUUUUUUAAGUUUUAGUAUAAAUGGGACACUUACUCAAAAGUGUCCCAAACAUGUGUCCCUAUAACCUAAUUCUGUUGUAGUGGCAAGGGCUUAAUACUUCCAAAAUAUAUUCUAACAAAAUUCUAAUUUUAUUUUAAAUGUUUUAUU
This 1084-nucleotide long non-coding RNA is filed under the name Ananas comosus (pineapple). RNAcentral's name for it is "long non-coding RNA (ACOM_LNC032526)". Lineage: Eukaryota; Viridiplantae; Streptophyta; Magnoliopsida; Poales; Bromeliaceae. The record is from RNAcentral.